GAUGAAGAACGCAGUGAAAUGCGAUAAGUAAUGUGAAUUGCAGAAUUCAGUGAAUCAUCGAAUCUUUGAACGCACAUUGCGCCCCCUGGUAUUCCGGGGGGCAUGCCUGUUCGAGCGUCAUUUCACCACUCAAGCCUCGCUUGGUAUUGGGCAACGCGGUCCGCCGCGUGCCUCAAAUCGACCGGCUGGGUCUUCUGUCCCCUAAGCGUUGUGGAAACUAUUCGCUAAAGGGUGUUCGGAAGGCUACGCCGUAAAACAACCCCAUUUCUAAGGUUGACCUCGGAUCAGGUAGGGAUACCCGCUGAACUUAAGCAUAUCAAUAAGAGGAGGA
Molecule: unclassified non-coding RNA, 331 nt
Filed under: soil metagenome
Description: partial contains 5.8S ribosomal RNA, internal transcribed spacer 2, and large subunit ribosomal RNA
Rfam family: 5.8S ribosomal RNA (bases 1-120)
Source: RNAcentral